UAAAGAGGACAAAGGCCAUUCU
RNAcentral lists this microRNA (22 nucleotides) under Electrophorus electricus (electric eel). RNAcentral describes it as "eel-miR-11059-3p". Lineage: Eukaryota; Metazoa; Chordata; Actinopteri; Gymnotiformes; Gymnotidae. The record is from miRBase by way of RNAcentral.